Molecule: unclassified non-coding RNA, 345 nt
Filed under: soil metagenome
Description: partial contains 5.8S ribosomal RNA, internal transcribed spacer 2, and large subunit ribosomal RNA
Rfam family: 5.8S ribosomal RNA (bases 1-120)
Source: RNAcentral
GAUGAAGAACGCAGCGAAAUGCGAUACGUAAUGUGAAUUGCAGAAUUCAGUGAAUCAUCGAGUCUUUGAACGCACAUUGCGCCCCCUGGUAUUCCGGGGGGCAUGCCUGUCCGAGCGUCAUUGCUGCCUUCAAGCACGGCUUGUGUGUUGGGCCUCCGUCCUCCUCCCGGGGGACGGGCCCGAAAGGUAGCGGCGGCACCGCGUCCGGUCCUCGAGCGUAUGGGGCUUCGUCACCCGCUCUUGUAGGCCCGGCCGGCGCUUGCCGACACAUCAAUCUUUUUUCCAGGUUGACCUCGGAUCAGGUAGGGAUACCCGCUGAACUUAAGCAUAUCAAUAAGCGGAGGA